Molecule: ribosomal RNA, 464 nt
Filed under: uncultured bacterium
Lineage: Bacteria
Description: bacterial SSU rRNA
Rfam family: Bacterial small subunit ribosomal RNA
Source: RNAcentral
UAAGGAAUAUUGGUCAAUGGAGGCAACUCUGAACCAGCCAUGCCGCGUGCAGGAAGAAGGCCCUAUGGGUCGUAAACUGCUUUUGAACAAGAGAAAACCCCGGUACGUGUACUGGGUUGAUAGUAUUGUUAGAAUAAGCAUCGGCUAACUUCGUGCCAGCAGCCGCGGUAAGACGAAGGAUGCAAGCGUUAUCCGGAUUCAUUGGGUUUAAAGGGUGCGUAGGCGGACUGAUAAGUCAGUGGUGAAAUCUCUCGGCUUAACCGAGAAACUGCCAUUGAUACUGUUAGUCUAGAGUACAGAUGAUGUGGGCGGAAUAUGACAUGUAGUGGUGAAAUACUUAGAUAUGUCAUAGAACACCGAUUGCGAAGGCAGCUCACAAAACUGUAACUGACGCUGAGGCACGAAAGUGCGGGGAUCAAACAGGAUUAGAUACCCGCGUAGUCCCUGAGCGGGCUGGCAAGGCG